UACAAUGAUAAGCGCAAUAAGAUACUAUUCUGAAAAGGUUUGGUAAAUCUUGAAAACACUUAUCAAGCUUGGGACAGACCUUUGCAAUUAUAGGUCUCGAACCAGGAAUUCCUAGUAAACGUAAAUCAUCAAUUUACGUUGAAUACGUCCCUGUCCUUUGUACACACCGCCCGUCGUUUCUACCGAUUGAGUAUUUUGGUGAACUUUCUGGAUUGCGGCAUUUGCAUUGCAAAUAUUGAGUAAACCGAAAUACUUAGAGGAAGGACAAGUCGUAACAAGGUUUCCGUAGGUGAACCUGCGGAAGGAACAUUUUUAUAAACUUUUUAUUUGGCUCUGCCAACAUUUUAAAAUUUUAAAUUUCCAACGAUGGAUAUCUUGGUUCCCAAAGCGAUGAAGAACGUAGCAAAUUGCGAUAAACAAUGUAAUAUGCAAAACGUGAAUCAUUAGGUCUUCGAAUGCAAACUGCUUAGAUAAUUUUCUAAAUGUAUAAUUCAGCGUCUUAUUAUUACAAACAUAAUGUGAUUGGUUUUCUUUCACUAAAUUUAUAAUUUCAAUUCUUUCUGGAAAACCAGUUUUGAAAUUUUUAUAUAUUAUUUUUGACUUGAGUUAUGCAGGAUGACCCACUGAACUUAAGCAUAUCAUUAAGUGGAGGAAAAGAAAUUAACAAAGAUUGCCUUAGUAAGGGCGACUGAACCGGC
This 698-nucleotide ribosomal RNA is filed under the name uncultured ciliate. RNAcentral's name for it is "bacterial SSU rRNA". The stretch from base 1 to 312 matches the Rfam family "Eukaryotic small subunit ribosomal RNA", at positions 1499 to 1831 of the family's 1831-position model. The record is from RNAcentral. Lineage: Eukaryota; Ciliophora.